UACAGAGGUCUCAAGCGUUGUUCGGAUUCAUUGGGCGUAAAGGGUGCGUAGGCGGCUCGGUAAGUCGGGUGUGAAAUCUCGGGGCUUAACUCCGAAACUGCAUUUGAUACUGCCGUGCUUGAGGACUGGAGAGGAGACUGGAAUUUACGGUGUAGCGGUGAAAUGCGUAGAUAUCGUAAGGAAGACCAGUGGCGAAGGCGGGUCUCUGGACAGUUCCUGACGCUGAGGCACGAAGGUCAGGGGAGCAAACGGG
Molecule: ribosomal RNA, 253 nt
Filed under: uncultured bacterium
Lineage: Bacteria
Description: partial 16S ribosomal RNA
Rfam family: Bacterial small subunit ribosomal RNA
Source: RNAcentral